CCAUAUUUGUUAUGAUUUUCAUAUUGAGUCUUUCUCAUUUUAUUUUCUAAUGGGUUUUGUUCUCUUUGUUUUUGUUUCAAUUUACUUAAAACAAAACGCACGCCUCCUGCAUUGGCCACCUGCUGCGGCACCAACCCCUUCAUGCAUUGCCCUUUUCUUGCUGCUGUGUUGGGAUGGUGCGCGCACCACCCUCACUCACCCUCCAUUUCUUGAUCACUGUCCAUGUUCUUGCACCUCUGCCUUCCACUUCCUGGUCAUAGACGAGCUGUACGCUCAGAAACUGAAGUACAAAGCCAUCAGCGAGGAGCUGGACCACGCUCUCAACGAUAUGACUUCCAUAUAAGUUUCUUUGCUUCACUUCUCCCAAGACUCCCUCGUCGAGCUGGAUGUCCCACCUCUCUGAGCUCUGCAUUUGUCUGUUCUCCAGCUGACCCUGGUUCUCUCUCUUAGCAUCCUGCCUUAGAGCCAGGCACACACUGUGCUUUCUAUUGUACAGAAGCUCUUCGUUUCAGUGUCAAAUAAACACUGUGUAAGCUA
This 537-nucleotide small RNA is filed under the name Pan troglodytes (chimpanzee). RNAcentral describes it as "retained intron". The record is from RNAcentral. Lineage: Eukaryota; Metazoa; Chordata; Mammalia; Primates; Hominidae.